GACGAACGCUGGCGGCGUGCUUAACACAUGCAAGUCGAACGAUGAAGCACUUCGGUGUGGAUUAGUGGCGAACGGGUGAGUAACACGUGAGCAACCUGCCCCUUUCUCUGGGAUAACCGCCGGAAACGGUGGCUAAUACCGGAUAUUCACUUUUCCGUGCAUGCGGUUUGGUGGAAAGAUUUUUUGGUGGGGGAUGGGCUCGCGGCCUAUCAGCUUGUUGGUGGGGUAAUGGCCUACCAAGGCUUCGACGGGUAGCCGGCCUGAGAGGGCGACCGGCCACACUGGGACUGAGAUACGGCCCAGACUCCUACGGGAGGCAGCAGUGGGGAAUAUUGCACAAUGGGGGAAACCCUGAUGCAGCAACGCCGCGUGCGGGAUGACGGCCUUCGGGUUGUAAACCGCUUUCAGCAGGGGCGAAUUCAGACGGUACCUGCAGAAGAAGCACCGGCUAACUACGUG
This 459-nucleotide ribosomal RNA is filed under the name uncultured organism. RNAcentral's name for it is "bacterial SSU rRNA". It matches the Rfam family "Bacterial small subunit ribosomal RNA", at positions 28 to 507 of the family's 1533-position model. The record is from RNAcentral.